This 571-nucleotide ribosomal RNA is filed under the name Escherichia coli. Its description in RNAcentral is "partial 23S ribosomal RNA". It matches the Rfam family "Bacterial large subunit ribosomal RNA", at positions 519 to 1091 of the family's 2925-position model. Lineage: Bacteria; Pseudomonadati; Pseudomonadota; Gammaproteobacteria; Enterobacterales; Enterobacteriaceae. The record is from RNAcentral.
AAGAACCCCGGCGAGGGGAGUGAAAAAGAACCUGAAACCGUGUACGUACAAGCAGUGGGAGCCUCUUAAUGGGGUGACUGCGUACCUUUUGUAUAAUGGGUCAGCGACUUAUAUUCUGUAGCAAGGUUAACCGAAUAGGGGAGCCGAAGGGAAACCGAGUCUUAACUGGGCGUUAAGUUGCAGGGUAUAGACCCGAAACCCGGUGAUCUAGCCAUGGGCAGGUUGAAGGUUGGGUAACACUAACUGGAGGACCGAACCGACUAAUGUUGAAAAAUUAGCGGAUGACUUGUGGCUGGGGGUGAAAGGCCAAUCAAACCGGGAGAUAGCUGGUUCUCCCCGAAAGCUAUUUAGGUAGCGCCUCGUGAAUUCAUCUCCGGGGGUAGAGCACUGUUUCGGCAAGGGGGUCAUCCCGACUUACCAACCCGAUGCAAACUGCGAAUACCGGAGAAUGUUAUCACGGGAGACACACGGCGGGUGCUAACGUCCGUCGUGAAGAGGGAAACAACCCAGACCGCCAGCUAAGGUCCCAAAGUCAUGGUUAAGUGGGAAACGAUGUGGGAAGGCCCAGACA